GAGUUUGAUCAUGGCUCAGAGCGAACGCUGGCGGCGUGCCUAACACAUGCAAGUCGAACGUGAAAUGGGGCAACCCAGAGUAAAGUGGCGUACGGGUGAGUAACACGUAGGUAAUCUACCCUAGAGUCUGGAAUAACCUGCCGAAAGGCGGGCUAAUACUGGAUAGAGCGACGGAAUCCGUAAUUGGGUUUUUCGGGAAAGGGAGCGAGCAAUCGCCUUCGCUUUAGGAUGAGCCUGCGUCCCAUUAGGUAGUUGGCGGGGUAAUGGCCCACCAAGCCUGUGAUGGGUAGCUGGUCUGAGAGGAUGAUCAGCCACACUGGAACUGAAACACGGUCCAGACUCCUACGGGAGGCAGCAGUGGGGAAUCUUGCGCAAUGGACGAAAGUCUGACGCAGCCACGCCGCGUGAGUGAAGAAGGCCUCGGUU
Molecule: ribosomal RNA, 426 nt
Filed under: uncultured delta proteobacterium
Lineage: Bacteria; Deltaproteobacteria
Description: bacterial SSU rRNA
Rfam family: Bacterial small subunit ribosomal RNA
Source: RNAcentral